This 253-nucleotide ribosomal RNA is filed under the name uncultured bacterium. RNAcentral describes it as "partial 16S ribosomal RNA". It matches the Rfam family "Bacterial small subunit ribosomal RNA", at positions 524 to 776 of the family's 1533-position model. The record is from RNAcentral.
UACGUAGGGUGCGAGCGUUAAUCGGAAUUACUGGGCGUAAAGUGUGCGCAGGCGGCCGAGCAAGUCGAGUGUGAAAGCCCCGAGCUUAACUUGGGAACUGCGCUCGAAACUACUUGGCUGGAGUGUGGCAGAGGAAGGUGGAAUUCCACGUGUAGCGGUGAAAUGCGUAGAUAUCGGGAGGAACACCUGUGGCGAAAGCGGCUCACUGGACCACAACUGACGCUGAGGCGCGAAAGCUAGGGGAGCAAACAGG